This is a long non-coding RNA of Magnolia sinica, 553 nucleotides long. RefSeq lists it as uncharacterized. The transcript is spliced from 3 exons. The record is from RefSeq and is a predicted model, not a curated record. Lineage: Eukaryota; Viridiplantae; Streptophyta; Magnoliopsida; Magnoliales; Magnoliaceae.
CAUGGCAUGCUGUUUCAACAGGAACCAUGUUUACUGUCUAUUACAAACCCAGGUGCGUUCAUUUUUGUACACUGCUAUGCGAGGUAUUGAUUUAGGAUUAAUAACUACACCUAUAGUUACACCUGUAAAUGUGUUGCACAACUGGCGGCAUGAAUUCAAAAAGUGGAGACCUGGGGGAAUUAAAGUGUCUUCAUAUCUUUAUGCUAGAAGAUGUUCCUAGCUGGCAGUGGGCCAAGAUCUAUGGUUGGAUGACCAUUUGAUCUUGAAUAAUAUCCUAAAAAUAAGAUGAGUAUUUUUUUAAUAAAAUCUUGACUGACUUCAUUGAGGAUGGGUUGCAUGAUGGGCAUGGGCUGUAGUUCUAAUGUUUGCGGGCAUGUCAGCAAAACCAAGGAUUAUAUUGAGGAUGCUUAUCUGAAUCCAUGCUCAGCACCCAUUUCUCUGUAUGAAGUAUGUUUUUCUAGGACCAAGGCUUCAUGACACCCACAACCAAUCAGCUGAAGUUAAUUAUAUUUUUAACAUAUGCUGCAACUAUUGUUGUUGAAAAAUGAUCUUC